This 103-nucleotide ribosomal RNA is filed under the name Pseudoduganella danionis. RNAcentral describes it as "partial 16S ribosomal RNA". It matches the Rfam family "Bacterial small subunit ribosomal RNA", at positions 1 to 97 of the family's 1533-position model. The record is from RNAcentral. Lineage: Bacteria; Pseudomonadati; Pseudomonadota; Betaproteobacteria; Burkholderiales; Oxalobacteraceae.
AGAUUAAACUGAAGAGUUUGAUCCUGGCUCAGAUUGAACGCUGGCGGCAUGCCUUACACAUGCAAGUCGAACGGCAGCACGGAGCUUGCUCUGGUGGCGAGUG